CGUGGACAGCAGCAAGUGAAAGCACUUUGUAAGGCGCUACAAAAAAUGUUGUAUUAUCCCAAUUUUAGAAAUGAAGAACCCAAACCUCAGACAGACCACCCUGGUGAAUGUGAUGCUGAAGUGAACACUGAGAUACUAGACUAUGGCAGAACUUGUGCCCCUGAAGUCCACAGGGAAUCUGCCCACUGACCAUCAGACGGCCACUUCCUGCCCCUGGCUCCACGCCCGGUGCCAACAGAACACCUUUCAGGAUCCACAGCAACGCAGACAACGU
Long non-coding RNA from Lepus europaeus (European hare), 274 nucleotides. RefSeq lists it as uncharacterized. NCBI's taxonomy places the organism in Eukaryota, Metazoa, Chordata, Mammalia, Lagomorpha, Leporidae. The transcript is spliced from 4 exons. The record is from RefSeq and is a predicted model, not a curated record.